GUGCUUACUUCAGUGGCACAUAUACUAACAUUGGAAGGACACACAGAUUAGCAGGGCCCCUGCUCAAAGAUGACAUGAAGAUUUGUGAAGUAUUCUAUUAAAAA
This is a small nuclear RNA of Phyllostomus hastatus (greater spear-nosed bat), 104 nucleotides long. The record is from RefSeq and is a predicted model, not a curated record. NCBI's taxonomy places the organism in Eukaryota, Metazoa, Chordata, Mammalia, Chiroptera, Phyllostomidae.